AUUUCUGUAGUGCAAUGAGUAGCGCGUUGGAUUUCUAAUCCAAAGGUUGUGGGUUCAAAUACCUCCUGGGAUG
This 73-nucleotide transfer RNA is filed under the name Trichonephila inaurata madagascariensis. It matches the Rfam family "tRNA". Rfam says of the family: Transfer RNA (tRNA) molecules are approximately 80 nucleotides in length. Their secondary structure includes four short double-helical elements and three loops (D, anti-codon, and T loops). Further hydrogen bonds mediate the characteristic L-shaped molecular structure. tRNAs have two regions of fundamental functional importance: the anti-codon, which is responsible for specific mRNA codon recognition, and the 3' end, to which the tRNAs corresponding amino acid is attached (by aminoacyl-tRNA synthetases). tRNAs cope with the degeneracy of the genetic code in two manners: having more than one tRNA (with a specific anti-codon) for a particular amino acid; and 'wobble' base-pairing, i.e. permitting non-standard base-pairing at the 3rd anti-codon position. The record is from Rfam by way of RNAcentral. Lineage: Eukaryota; Metazoa; Arthropoda; Arachnida; Araneae; Nephilidae.